GACGAACGCUGGCGGCGUGCUUAACACAUGCAAGUCGAACGGAAAGGCUCCAGCUUGCUGGAGUCCUCGAGUGGCGAACGGGUGAGUAACACAUGGGUAAUCUGCCCUGCACUCUGGGAUAAGCCUGGGAAACUGGGUCUAAUACUGGAUAUGACCUUUCUCCUUAUGGGGUUUGGUGGAAAGUUUUUCGGUGUAGGAUGAGCCCGCGGCCUAUCAGCUUGUUGGUGGGGUGAUGGCCUACCAAGGCGACGACGGGUAGCCGGCCUGAGAGGGUGAUCGGCCACAUUGGGACUGAGAUACGGCCCAGACUCCUACGGGAGGCAGCAGUGGGGAAUAUUGCACAAUGGGCGGAAGCCUGAUGCAGCGACGCCGCGUGAGGGAUGACGGCCUUCGGGUUGUAAACCUCUUUCAGCAGGGACGAAGCGUAAGUGACGGUACCUGCAGAAGAAGCACCGGCUAACUAUGUG
RNAcentral lists this ribosomal RNA (467 nucleotides) under uncultured bacterium. RNAcentral's name for it is "partial 16S ribosomal RNA". It matches the Rfam family "Bacterial small subunit ribosomal RNA", at positions 28 to 507 of the family's 1533-position model. The record is from RNAcentral.